RNAcentral lists this ribosomal RNA (412 nucleotides) under Aureimonas altamirensis. Its description in RNAcentral is "bacterial SSU rRNA". It matches the Rfam family "Bacterial small subunit ribosomal RNA", at positions 17 to 457 of the family's 1533-position model. Lineage: Bacteria; Pseudomonadati; Pseudomonadota; Alphaproteobacteria; Hyphomicrobiales; Aurantimonadaceae. The record is from RNAcentral.
CCAUGGCUCAGAACGAACGCUGGCGGCAGGCUUAACACAUGCAAGUCGAACGCACCUUUCGGGGUGAGUGGCAGACGGGUGAGUAACGCGUGGGAAUCUACCCUUCUCUACGGGAUAGCUCCGGGAAACUGGAAUUAAUACCGUAUACGUCCUGAGGGAGAAAGAUUUAUCGGGGAAGGAUGAGCCCGCGUUGGAUUAGCUAGUUGGUGGGGUAAAGGCCUACCAAGGCGACGAUCCAUAGCUGGUCUAAGAGGAUGAUCAGCCACAUUGGGACUGAGACACGGCCCAAACUCCUACGGGAGGCAGCAGUGGGGAAUAUUGGACAAUGGGCGCAAGCCUGAUCCAGCCAUGCCGCGUGAGUGAUGAAGGCCCUAGGGUUGUAAAGCUCUUUCAGUGGGGACGAUAAUGACGG